UGGGGAAUCAUGGUCAAUGGGCGAAAGCCUGAACCUGCGACGCCGCGUGAGUGAUGAAGGUCGUAAGAUCGUAAAACUCUUUUCAGGGAUCUUAAAGCCUGUCUGUCAACAACAGGCAGAUCUGACUCUCCCUGGAAGAAGCCCCAGCCAACUACGUGCCAGCAGCUGCGGUAAUACGGAGGGGGCGAGCGUUAUUCGGAAUUACUGGGGGUAAAGGGUAUGUAGGCGGCCCUUCAAGUCGCGUGUCAAAGUCC
This 254-nucleotide ribosomal RNA is filed under the name uncultured prokaryote. RNAcentral describes it as "partial 16S ribosomal RNA". It matches the Rfam family "Bacterial small subunit ribosomal RNA", at positions 355 to 603 of the family's 1533-position model. The record is from RNAcentral.